UCCCACUUACCUCCGGUUUUCGAGGCCAGAGACCUUUUCAACACUCCAGGACCAAGAGCCAGCAAUCCGCUGGAGGGGAACCGGGCAGAAGCCCCUGGGACCGGUGCACCGGUUCAGCCCCAUCAGAUGGACCCGCCUCGUCAAAACACCGUUAUACCUCAGGAUGCUUUAACACCUCCGGGUCACUACUCCAACCCAAUGGACAAUCUUGUUGCCGCUGCUGCACGACUGGAGGCCAUUCCAGUUGAAGGUGACUCGCCACAGGCAGUAGAGACGCGAUGGGUCAAGGAACUUCUGAGGACAGCUUUGGCCCAACAGGAGGCGUACUCGUACAGC
Molecule: ribosomal RNA, 336 nt
Filed under: Triticum aestivum (bread wheat)
Lineage: Eukaryota; Viridiplantae; Streptophyta; Magnoliopsida; Poales; Poaceae
Description: partial small subunit ribosomal RNA
Source: RNAcentral